Molecule: ribosomal RNA, 450 nt
Filed under: uncultured bacterium
Lineage: Bacteria
Description: bacterial SSU rRNA
Rfam family: Bacterial small subunit ribosomal RNA
Source: RNAcentral
UCAAGAAACUUCCACAAUGGGCGAAAGCCUGAUGGAGCGACGUCGCGUGAUGGACGAAGUGCUUCGGCACGUAAACAUCUUUUAUGUGGGAUGAAAUUAUUGACAGUACCACAUGAAUAAGGGGCUCCUAACUCUGUGCCAGCAGGAGCGGUAAUACAGAGGGUGCAAGCGUUAUCCGGAAUCACUGGGCGUAAAGGGUGUCGAGGCGGUUGUAUUAGUCGUUCGUAAAAUCUACGAGCUUAACUUGUAGGCGGCGAACGAAACGGUACGACUUGAGGUUUGGAGAGGUGCGUGGAACUCACGGUGUAGGGGUGAAAUCCGUUGAUAUCGUGGGGAACACCAAAGGCGAAGGCAGCGCACUGGCCAAAAUCUGACGCUCACACACGAAAGCUAGGGUAGCGAAGAGGAUUAGAUACCCACGUAGUCCCUGAGCGGGCUGGCAAGGCGCAU